Anolis carolinensis (green anole) is the source of this 4804-nucleotide long non-coding RNA. NCBI's taxonomy places the organism in Eukaryota, Metazoa, Chordata, Lepidosauria, Squamata, Anolidae. The record is from Ensembl.
AAAAGCCUAUGGGAUUCUGGCCUGCAUCAAUAGGGGAAUAGCGUCUAGAUCCAGGGAAGUUAUGCUCUCCCUCUAUUCUGCCUUGGUCAGACCACACCUGGAAUACUGUGACCAAUGCUGGGCUUUACAGAGUUAUGUGUGUGCAUGUACCUUCAAGUCACCUGUCAAUUUAUGAUGGCCCCUUGAAUUUUCUACAGUUUUCUUAAGCAAAGCAUAAUGGCAGGUGGUUUUGCCAGUUCAUUCCUCUAAACCAGUGGUUUUUAAACUUUGGUCCUCCAGGUGUUCCUAUAAUUCCUAACAGCUGGUAAGCUAGCUCAGACUUCUGGGAGUUGACAUCCAAAACACCUGGAGGACCAAAGGUUGAGAACCACUGCGCUAAAUUAUAGCUUACAUACCAGAUACUUAUACGGCCUUGUGUCUUGUUAAAAUUAAUUUAUUGCAUAUACUUGUGUGUAUGUCAACGUCAAGUAUAAGUCAAGGGAAGGUUUGGGGCCAAAAUUACGGAUUUUGAUAUGACCCAGGCUGACAGCAAAAUUAUGCUAUUACAAGGGGCCAGCUAUCCCUAUCCCUUUUAAAAAGACCAGAAGUGGCAUUUCUGUGGAGGGAGUAGAGGGGGCCAGUGCUUCUUUUAGGUUCUCUCAGGAUGAGCCAAGCUGUCACUUUUUCCCAUUAUACUCAGAGAAGGGGAUGGCUCCUAUUUAAAAUAAAGUUAAGUACUAGAAAGAGGGCAGUACAAGCAAAGACCCCUUCAGUGAAGCAACUUUCUGUAGCAAAAUCUCAGAUGUGUGAGAAGCCAGUAGAAGAACUUAUACCAACCCGUGUAAAGAUUGCUGUGUUUGCUAUCUUCGUUUUCCUUCUUUUUGUGUAUGUCACUAUGGAAACUAAUGUAGGGAAUCCAUUCCCAAGGUUUAGCAUGGGAAAAUGAGAGCAUCUCAUCAUUUAGAGAUGACAUCAAAAGACUAAAGGUGGUGGUUCUGUUCAGCUGCUUAGGAAUAAGCAAUUUGGGUAGCUUAUUAAAAAGCAAGAGUGGAUAUACCAUGUAUGUGUUUUCUUUGUUUAGAAUUUAAAAUGCCUCCCAGCGUCUGUAUCUUAAAAUAUCUGGCAGCAUCUACGUUUUUUGACAGUGGUUCAUGAUUUAGCUCAUGAGUAGAGAUUUUCUUAAUUGGUUUAAUGAAAACCAAUUUCUUCCUUUCUUAAUUUCAGAAGGUGAAGUUUUCUGUUAGCAGCCAGUCCUCCCACCAUUGUUUAUAUUAUGCAAGUGGGCCCUAUGGCUAGAAGACAAUUUGUCAAAUCCUAAUGAACUGACUAGUAAGAAGCAUAAACCUAGAAGGAAAAGAUUGCAAAAAUGAUUGUGGGGUAAUUCAGCUGUUAUAUACCCAUACAGAAUACAAGUUGCAGGGUAGCUUCUCAGAGCCAAGUAGAUCCCACCAAAAUCCAUCCAUUCCCAAAGUAUAGCAUGGGAAGUUGAUCCCAUCACUCUCACCAUCAUAGCCCGGUGCUUUAAUUCAUCCAGAAGCCUUUGUUCUAUUACAGACAUCAGCUGUGGAGCUGGGCUGCCUAUCCUAGUCUAAGGAGAAGCACCUGCUAGGUAAUCAAAUGUAAAACGACAGAGCCCUUGAUGGCUGAUCAUACAGGCAUAGCUACAGCUUGUCCAUUUCCAUGUACCUGUUUUCUUUUGAUGGACAGUGUAGUAUUUUGCUUUUGAGAACUUGCAAUCUUUAAUACUCCCAUUGAUCAUCCUGUGGGGAAUUUCCUGGAAUAUGUAGUUCAAAAACUAUAGACUGGUUACUAGACAAAGAAAUAAACAUCAAUACCUUUUCAUGCCUUAUUUUACUAUCUUUAAAGUGUUGGAGCCAAGUUCUUCACAUGUGCUGGCAUUUUUAAAACAUGAAAAAACUAACAAAAAGUCCAACUCAACUUGUUCUUUCUAAUUGGCAACAGAAUGUAAUACUGUGUUGAAGUGGUGUGGCUGUUAAUUGUUUUUUGUUUAAAGCAUGAGUAGCUUUCAAAUGGUGUAAACCUAAAAGUUGCGCUGUGACAAAUUUUGUGUUUUAGUUUACCUGUGACUUCAGAUUUCACAACCUCCAAUAUAGACCUUUAUUGCACACCCUUACUCCCAUUCUGCUAAACUGUACAGCUUGUGAUUUUGCUCUGUGGCAGUGAGGGGGCACAAGCAACAAUCUAGCUGUCACUCACCUUUUACAGUGAAUGUUUCCUGUGAUUACUUCCUGGCAUAUGGUUUAGAAAGGAGAAUGAAAGAUGGUGCGAUAUCCCCAAUAUAUCUUCAAAAAUAAUACUGCACAAUAAUCCUGUAAUAAUGUACAAAAAGCCCAGAGUAAGAAAACUUGAACACUGAAAUUCAAAGUUUGUCCCUUUUUUGUUGGUACAUGAAUAGAUUUCUAAGAAUCUAGAACAGUGAAACCCCUGUUUGGACAUUUAAUUUGGACCAUCAGAAGCCCCAUUGUGGCCUUAGGAUGUAUCCAUACACCCUCCCUAUCAUCACAUUGACUUACCUUUUGCAGCUUGAUAAUUGUUUUUCACUUUUCCAUGUUGUUCUUAACUGUUUACCUCUUCACCUCUUCUUAACUGUUAGUAAUCUUUGUUUUAUUUACUGCAAUGUUUAUGCCAUACAUUCUGGUUUUGUUCCUUCAUCUGGUCAGCUGAUGCACUUCUAGAAAACUUUGGAAGUCUUGGGAACACAUAGAAAAAGCGAGUUCAUUUUCUCAUUUGAGUCAUUCUGAAAUUACUCACAUAUUUCUUGGCAGGCUGCGUGGAGCACUUGCUUGUUUGGUCAUGACUCAACAUUUUUUUGUCUGUGCUAGACCAAGGAGGUAAAAUCAGAGUGAAAUCUCAACAGCACAUGGAAGCAUAUGCAGUAGUUGUUCAUCUUAUGUUAACAAAUUGUAUUCUGUUUGAUCAAAGUGCUAAGAGUUGGGCCAGAAUUUAAAGAUGGAGAAAAAAAAUAAUUGUCCAGAGACACAUUCUAAAGUAGUUUUUUUUCAUUAUUCUUCUUAGAAAAUGAUGCCUUUAUUAAGUCUGAUUUCACUCACUAUCUCAUUUCCCCAACAUUCAUUCUGUGCAGUUUCACCAUCAAUUUCUGAUUUUUUUUAAAAAAAAUUGUUGACUUAAAAUGAAUUCCACACAUAUUUUUACACACUUUCAGUUCUAUGCGUUAUGCUGACCUUUCCAAAUCAACAUAUUUUGCAAUCAUAUUUUGCCUUUAUUUUCUAUUUGGAAUACUAUAAUGCACUGUAUAUGGAGAUGCACUUGGAAACUGUUCAUAACCUACAGCAUGUAACAAACACCCUUGGUAAAACAGCUUCAUUGGUUUGUUUCUGGGUGUAAUUCAAAGUGUUGGUCACUAUUAUGCCCUAUGCAAUGUAGGUUCAGGCUUUCUGAAAGAUCAUAUCUUCUUAUACGAACCUUGACAAGAGGUUUCAACUCCAAGGGAAAGGCUUACUUAGUGAGGACAGGAGACCCAUUGGUGUCUCCCACCUACUGGAAUUUCUUUCCAAUGGAGGAUAAGCUUGCUAACUUCCUGUUCUCCUUUCACCAGCAGGCAAAGAUAUUUUGGUUUAAGCAGGCUUUUAAUGUAUAGUUUCUCACAGAUAGGUUUCUUAUUGAAAGAGAUGUUUCGGUUUUAAACCUUUAAAUGCAUUUAAAAUAAUUUUAUAUGUUUUUUUGUAAUAAUGAUAAAUUGUUUUAAAUUUUUAUUGUCAGAUUUAGUUCUUAUUGUGAGAUGCCUUGGGUCCCGAUCCAACAGAAAGGUGGCAUAUAAAUAAAACAAAAUAAAUAUUCUUGAAAACAUUGAAGCAAUGUUUGUAUGCAUAUUUCUUUACUGUGUUUAGUUUUGUUAAUGGUUAAUAUGAACUGCAUAGGGAACUAUGGAAAUCUUAAUUUUACUCCAGUUUACAGAUUUGGCAUUUGAUGACUCCCUAAACACAAAUAUGUAAGCCUAAUGUUCCCAGUCAAAGUACUUAUGGAGCAUAUCAGGUAGUCAAUCAAGUUUUGUAUACAUUAAAGUCAUCCAUACAAUGGAUGUUACUUCAAGUUCGAACUAUAUUCUUAUAGUGCCAGUGGUUGAUUGUAGGAGAGUGGUUGUGUGUGUCCACUUAUGUCGUGUGCUAUAUUUUGAUACGCCUUUGCACCGAAUCAUGAUUGAGGUGGCUUUUUUGUUUUGUGACCCUUCAUAUUAUUUCUAACAUAGUGGACCAGUUAUGGAGUUGCCUUUGAUUUGGUCAGAGGGUUUGCCCUUUUUGUCCUCUGAAGCAGAGGGAAUGUGACUUGCCCAAGAUCAUUAAGAAGGAAGCUAUGGCUGAUUUGAAAUACAGAUAAAAUGAAAUGUGCUCAUGACUGAGGUGAAUUUUGAACUGAUACCACACAGCUUAUUCUGUUAUUAUGAGAAAGCAGUUUUGCCUUGCUUGUGUAACCCAUAUUGUGUCACAGAUUUGGAACUUAAUAAUUCCAGCAAAAAUAUUUUAUUUGCAUUUAUUUUCAAGCAAGGUCAGUUCACAAAUGGCUCUGCAUUAGAAACAAAGAACCUUUUCUAUAUGUGGCACACAUUCUCUUAAUAUGAAAAAGUUCAUGAGAACUUAAGUACAGGAUAGGAGUGGGAAUCAGACUUUUCAGUCUUCCCGAACUACAGGUCCCACUAGUUCUAAUGAAUGCUGAAAGUUCCAGUCCAAAAAUACCUGGAGGACAGUAUGAAUGCCACUCCUUUUCUAUAGAGCAGGAGUGAAUUCUUGGUCUUCUGAACAUCUAAUGAAUUAUCUUGGCUAACUGCCUGCUUUAUUUCUUCUCCCAA